UACGGAGGGUGCAAGCGUUAUCCGGAUUUACUGGGUUUAAAGGGUGCGCAGGCGGAUAUGUAAGUCAGUGGUGAAAUCUUCCCGCUUAACGGGAAAGCUGCCAUUGAUACUAUAUAUCUUGAAUGCUGUGGAGGUAAGCAGAAUAUGUCAUGUAGCGGUGAAAUGCUUAGAGAUGACAUAGAAUACCUAUUGCGAAGGCAGCUUACUACGCGAGAUAUUGACGCUCAUGCACGAAAGCGUGGGGAGUCGAAACAGGA
RNAcentral lists this ribosomal RNA (257 nucleotides) under uncultured bacterium. Its description in RNAcentral is "partial 16S ribosomal RNA". It matches the Rfam family "Bacterial small subunit ribosomal RNA", at positions 524 to 777 of the family's 1533-position model. The record is from RNAcentral.